RNAcentral lists this ribosomal RNA (500 nucleotides) under uncultured bacterium. RNAcentral describes it as "partial 16S ribosomal RNA". It matches the Rfam family "Bacterial small subunit ribosomal RNA", at positions 29 to 523 of the family's 1533-position model. The record is from RNAcentral.
AUUGAACGCUGGCGGCAUGCCUUACACAUGCAAGUCGAACGGCAGCACGGGAGCAAUCCUGGUGGCGAGUGGCGAACGGGUGAGUAAAGUAUCGGAACGUGCCCAGUCGUGGGGGAUAACGUAGCGAAAGUUACGCUAAUACCGCAUACGAUAUAUGGAUGAAAGCGGGGGAUCGAAAGACCUCGCGCGAUUGGAGCGGCCGAUAUCAGAGUAGGUCGUUGGCGGGGUAAAGGCGCACCAAGCCGACGAUCCGUAGCUGGUCUGAGAGGACGACCAGCCACACUGGGACUGAGACACGGCACAGACUGCUACGGGAGGGAGCAGUGGGGAAUUGUGGACAAUGGGCGAAAGCCUGAUCCAGCCAUGCCGCGUGCAGGAUGAAGGCCUUCGGGUUGUAAACUGCUUUUGUACGGAACGAAAAGGUUUGGCCUAAUAAGCUGAGCUCAUGACGGUACCGUAAGAAUAUGCACCGGCUAACUACGUGCCAGCAGCCGCGGUAA